Molecule: ribosomal RNA, 403 nt
Filed under: Fusobacteriota bacterium
Lineage: Bacteria; Fusobacteriati; Fusobacteriota
Description: Fusobacteria bacterium partial 16S ribosomal RNA
Rfam family: Bacterial small subunit ribosomal RNA
Source: RNAcentral
UGGGGAAUAUUGCACAAUGGAGGGAACUCUGAUGCAGCGACGCCGCGUGAACGAAGAAGGCUUUCGAGUCGUAAAGUUCUUUUAUAUGGGAAGAUAAUGACGGUACCAUAAGAAAAAGCCCCGGCUAACUACGUGCCAGCAGCCGCGGUAAUACGUAGGGGGCUAGCGUUGUCCGGAAUCACUGGGCGUAAAGGGUUCGCAGGCGGAGAUGCAAGUCAGGUGUAAAAGGCAGUAGCUUAACUACUGUAAGCAUUUGAAACUGCAUAUCUUGGGAAGAGUAAAGGUAGGUGGAAUUUUUAAAGUAGCGGUGAAAUGCGUAGAUAUUAAAAAGGAUACCGGAGGCAAAGGCGACUUACUGGGCUCAUACUGACGCUGAGGAACGAAAGCGUGGGUAGCAAACAGG